Molecule: unclassified non-coding RNA, 291 nt
Filed under: uncultured fungus
Lineage: Eukaryota; Fungi
Description: sequence contains ITS2
Source: RNAcentral
AACGCACCUUGCGCCCCAUGGUAUUCCAUGGAGCAUGCCUGUUUGAGUGUCACGUGAAACUAUCACUCUUGUCUUGUCGCAAGACAUGUCAGGAUGUGGACUUGGACUGUGCCGUAGUUGGCUCGUCUUGAAAUGCAUUAGCCGUGCUGGUUAGAUUCGGCCACCUGGUGUGAUAUACGUCUACGCCUACUGUGCUGUCUCUUCCUGAGCGUGGCUCAUAAUCGUCGCUUGUUCGACAACACAAAUUAACGCUCUGGCCUCAAAUCAGGUAGGACUACCCGCUGAACUUAA